This 250-nucleotide unclassified non-coding RNA is filed under the name plant metagenome. RNAcentral describes it as "partial contains small subunit ribosomal RNA, internal transcribed spacer 1, and 5.8S ribosomal RNA". The record is from RNAcentral.
GUAGGUGAACCUGCGGAAGGAUCAUUACAAAUCCAGCGUCCAUUAAGUCACUUAAUGAGACCUCGUUGAAGUGUCCUCGGGAGCGUGUCGGAUAGGGGGAGGGCAUGGCGAGUGGCGAGAGAGCAAGGGAGCGACAAGGGGGUGAGGGACAGGAGGGAUCUCAAAGUAGGUUUACCGGUCCCUUUCUUCUGCGUCGCUCUCUCUCUCUCUCUGCCUGCUUGCCUGGCCUCUCUGUCUGAUGAUGUCUCUC